GCCCUUGUAGCUCAGUAGGUAGAGCGGCCCAGGAAUAUGGGUGAUUGAAGCGUCGCCGGUUCGAGUCCGGUCAAGGGCA
RNAcentral lists this transfer RNA (79 nucleotides) under Oscillospiraceae bacterium. RNAcentral describes it as "tRNA-OTHER". It matches the Rfam family "tRNA". Rfam says of the family: Transfer RNA (tRNA) molecules are approximately 80 nucleotides in length. Their secondary structure includes four short double-helical elements and three loops (D, anti-codon, and T loops). The record is from RNAcentral. Lineage: Bacteria; Bacillati; Bacillota; Clostridia; Eubacteriales; Oscillospiraceae. RNAcentral also lists the same sequence under 2 other names.